Molecule: ribosomal RNA, 362 nt
Filed under: uncultured bacterium
Lineage: Bacteria
Description: bacterial SSU rRNA
Rfam family: Bacterial small subunit ribosomal RNA
Source: RNAcentral
AACGAACGCUGGCGGCAUGCCUAACACAUGCAAGUCGAACGGGAUCCUGGUUUCGGCCAGGUGAGAGUGGCGGACGGGUGAGUAACGCGUGGGAACCUGCCCAGUGGUGGGGAUAACUGCGGGAAACUGCAGCUAAUACCGCAUGAGCCCGCAAGAGGAAAGAUUGAUCGCCAUUGGAGGGGCCCGCGUUCGAUUAGGUAGUUGGUGAGGUAACGGCUCACCAAGCCUUCGAUCGAUAGCUGGUCUGAGAGGAUGAUCAGCCACACUGGGACUGAGAUACGGCCCAGACUCCUACGGGAGGCAGCAGUGGGGAAUAUUGGACAAUGGGGGCAACCCUGAUCCAGCAAUGCCGCGUGAGUGAU